Molecule: long non-coding RNA, 1358 nt
Organism: Austrofundulus limnaeus
Lineage: Eukaryota; Metazoa; Chordata; Actinopteri; Cyprinodontiformes; Rivulidae
Exons: 3
Source: RefSeq, a predicted model, not a curated record
CACAUGACACACCCCGUCACGUGACACACCUCGUUACGUGACUCGUUACAUGACACGCCUCGUUACGUGACACGCCUCCUUACAUGACUCGUUACGUGACACGCCUCGUUACGUGACACGCCUCGUUACGUGACACGCCUCGUUACAUGACACGCCUCGUUACAUGACAUGCCUCGUUACGUGACUUGUUACAUGACACGCCUCGUUACGUGACUUGUUACAUGACAUGCCUCGUUACGUGACACGCCUCGUUACGUGACAUGCCUCGUUACAUGACUCGUUACAUGACACGCCUCGUUACGUGACACGUCUCGUUACGUGACAUGCCUCGUUACAUGACUCGUUACAUGACACGCCUCGUUAGGUUACACGCCUCGUUAGGGGACACGCCUCGUUAGGUGACACGCCGCGUUAGGUGACACGCCUCGUUAGGUGACACGCCUCGUUAGGUGACACGCCUCGUUAGGUUACACGCCUCGUUAGGUGACACGCCUCGUCACGUGACACGCCUCGUCAGGUGACACGCCUCGUCACGUGACACGCCUCGUCACGUGACACGCCUCGUUAGGUGACACGCCAAAUUAGGUGACACGCCUCGUCACGUGACACGCCUCGUCACGUGACACGCCUCGUUAGAUGACGCCUCGUCACGUGACAUGCCUCGUCAGGUGACACGCCUCCUUAGGUGACACGCCUCAUUAGGUGACACGCCUCGUCAUGUGACAUGCCAUGUCAUGUGACAUGCCUCGUCCGAUGACACGCCUCGUUAGGUGACACGCCUCGUCAGGUGACACGCCUCAUCAGGUGACACGCCUCGUCAGGUGACACGCCUCCUUAGGUGACACGCCUCGUUAGGUGACCUCAUCAGAUGACACGCCUCCUUAGGUGACACGCCUCGUUAGGUGACCUCAUCAGAUGACACACCUCGUUAAAUGACACGCCUUGUUAAAUGACACGCCUCGUCACGUGACAAGCCUCAUCAGGUGACACGCCUCGUCAGGUGACACGCCUCGUCAGGUGACACGCCUCGUCAGGUGACACGCCUCAUCAGGUGACACGCCUCGUCAGGUGACAUGCCUCGUCAGGUGACACGCCUCGUUAGGUGACACCUCGUCAGGUGACACGCCUCAUCAGGUGACACGCCUCGUUAGGUGACACGCCUCGUUAGGUGACACGCCUCGUCAGGUGACACGCCUCAUCAGGUGACACGCCUCGUCAGGUGACACGCCUCAUCAGAUGACACACCUCGUUAAAUGACACGCCUUGUUAGGUGACACACCUCGUCAGGUGACACGCCUCGUCAGGUGACACGCCUCGUUAGGUGACACGCCUCGUUAGGUGACACGCCUCAUCACGUG